UCAGGCCUAACACAUGCAAGUCGAGCGAGGUAGCAAUACCUAGCGGCGGACGGGUGAGUAACGCGUGGGAACGUGCCCUUUGCUUCGGAAUAGCCCUGGGAAACUGGGAGUAAUACCGAAUGUGCCCUACGGGGGAAAGAUUUAUCGGCAAAGGAUCGGCCCGCGUUGGAUUAGGUAGUUGGUGGGGUAAUGGCCUACCAAGCCGACGAUCCAUAGCUGGUUUGAGAGGAUGAUCAGCCACACUGGGACUGAGACACGGCCCAGACUCCUACGGGAGGCAGCAGUGGGGAAUCUUAGACAAUGGGCGCAAGCCUGAUCUAGCCAUGCCGCGGAGAGAAGGAGGCCUUAGGGUUGUAAAGCUCUUUCGGGGGGAAG
Molecule: ribosomal RNA, 375 nt
Filed under: uncultured bacterium
Lineage: Bacteria
Description: bacterial SSU rRNA
Rfam family: Bacterial small subunit ribosomal RNA
Source: RNAcentral